UGGGGAAUAUUGGACAAUGGGCGCAAGCCUGAUCCAGCAAUGCCGCGUGUGUGAAGAAGGCCUGCGGGUUGUAAAGCACUUUAAGCAGGAAAGAAGGCUUCGGAGUUAAUACCUUCGAAGAUUGACGUUACCUGCAGAAUAAGCACCGGCUAACUCCGUG
This 160-nucleotide ribosomal RNA is filed under the name uncultured bacterium. Its description in RNAcentral is "partial 16S ribosomal RNA". It matches the Rfam family "Bacterial small subunit ribosomal RNA", at positions 355 to 507 of the family's 1533-position model. The record is from RNAcentral.